This 405-nucleotide long non-coding RNA is filed under the name Amborella trichopoda. RNAcentral describes it as "long non-coding RNA (ATRI_LNC004935)". The record is from RNAcentral. Lineage: Eukaryota; Viridiplantae; Streptophyta; Magnoliopsida; Amborellales; Amborellaceae.
GCCAACUUCCUGGGGGCUGCUUCCCCCAUUUCUACUGUUCUUCUUUCUUUAUAAUUACUAUCCUUCCUUCCUUUAUUGUUUUCUUUCUUCUUCUCUCUAUGGUGUUUCUGCCGUCCUGCUUAAUCAGUGUACACCUGAGCACCCAGCCUGUGGGAUGCCUCUAGUAGCUUAGCUUUAUUGUAAAAAUAAAAAUCGAAAUAAAUGGCUACAUUUAUCAACUUAGUGGAAAAUCAAACUAUCAAAUUUCACAUCGGAUGGAAAGGAUGGUUGAAAGUAAUUGUGAUCUCCUUGUGUAUCAAAAGUAAAUGGUCUAAUUGUAUAGAAUUCCUUUUAGAUUUCAAUACAAGAAACAACAUAACUUAAUUGGCAACACAGGAAACACCAGAACUCAUUUGUUAGGUUGAG